Molecule: long non-coding RNA, 1582 nt
Filed under: Calidris pugnax (ruff)
Lineage: Eukaryota; Metazoa; Chordata; Aves; Charadriiformes; Scolopacidae
Description: lncRNA (ENSCPUG00000005562.1)
Source: RNAcentral
GUCCUGUCCCACCAGUCCUGCUGUCCCAACGGUCCUGUCCUACCCAUCCUGCUGUCCCUCCAGUCCUCCUGUCCUGUUCUGCUGUCCCUCCUGUCCUGUCCCACCAGUCCUGCCGUCCAACCGUCCUGUCCUACCCAUCCUGCUGUCCCUCCAGUCCCCUUCUCCUGUCCUGCUGUCCCUCCUGUCCCAUCCUGCUGUCCCUCGGGUCCUCCUGUCCUGUCUGCCUGUCCUGCUGUCCCUCGGGGCUCCAGUCCCCUGUCCUGCUGUUCCUAAAGUCCUCCUGUCCUGUCCUGCCUGUCCUGCUGUCCCUCGGGUCCUCCUGUCCUGUCCUGCCUGUCCUGCUGUCCCUCGGGUCCUCUUGUCCCGUCCUGCUGUUCCUAAAGUCCUCCUGUCCUGUCCCACCAGUCCUGCUGUCCCUCCCGUCCUGUCCUACCCAUCCUGCUGUCCCUCCAGUCCCCUUCUCCUGUCCUGCUGUCCCUACGGUUCUUCUGUCCUGCUGUCCCUCCUGUCCCGUCCUGCUGUCCCUCGGGUCCUCUUGUCCCAUCCUCCCUGUCCUGCUGUCCCUCCUGUCCUGUCUCGCCUGUCCUGCUGUCCCUCAGUCCUCCUGUCCUGUCCUGCUGUUCCUACAGUCCUCCUGUCCUGUCCUGUCUCGCCUGUUCUGCUGUCCCUACGGUCCUGUCCUACCCAUCCUGCUGUCCCUCCAGUCCCCCUCUCCUGUCCUGCUGUCCCUACGGUUCUUCUGUCCUGCUGUCCCUCCUGUCCCAUCCUGGUGUCCCUCAGGUCCUCUUGUCCUGUCCUACCCAUCCUGCUGUCCCUCCAGUCCUCCUGUCCUGGUGUCCCUACGGUCCUCCUGUCCUGGUGUCCCGCCUGGCCUGCCCUACCCAUCCUGCUGUCCCUAUGGUCCUCCUGUCCUGUUCUGCUGUCCCUCCAGUCCUGUCCUGCCUGUCUUGUUGUCCCUCCUGUCUCUCCUGUCCUGUCCUGCUGUCCCUAUGGUCCUGUCCCUACAGUCCUCCUCUCCUAUCCCUCCUGUCCUGCUGUCCCUCCUGGCCUGUCCUACCCAUCCUGCUGUCCCCAUGAUCCUCCUGGCCUGUCCUACCCAUCCUGCUGUCCCCAUGGUCCUCCUGUCCUGUCCUGCUGUCCUUCUCGUCCUGCUGUCCCUCCUGUCUCUCCUGUCCUGCCCGUCCUGCUGUUCCUCCUGUCCUGCCCAUCCUGCUGUCCCUCCUGUCCUGUCCUCCUGUCCCGUCCUGCCUGUCCUACCUGUCCCGCUCGCCCUGCCCUGUCCCUGUACCCAUCUGUGCACACACGCUCACACACACGCACACACACACCCUGGCCCUGUGCACACUGGGGCAGAAGGACACCGAGUGUAGAGAACCCAGGUCUGGUGUCCCUGCUGGGCCAUGGGGGCCACGGGCAGGCAGGGGUGGGCACAGGCCCCACCAGUGCGUUGAGGGGACACACGGGUCACUUAGGGACACGUGGUGCCCUGGGGACGUGGGCAGCAGUGGCCUCGCAGCCACAGCUGGCUUCGCCCUGUCCUGGGGAAACUGAGGCAGGGGGCGCAGCCCAUCCCAGGGUGUGG